Molecule: ribosomal RNA, 497 nt
Filed under: uncultured bacterium
Lineage: Bacteria
Description: partial 16S ribosomal RNA
Rfam family: Bacterial small subunit ribosomal RNA
Source: RNAcentral
GAUGAACGCUGGCGGCGUGCCUAAUACAUGCAAGUCGAACGAACAGAUAAGGAGCUUGCCCCUUUGACGUUAGCGGCGGACGGGUGAGUAACACGUGGAUAACCUACCUAUAAGACUGGGAUAACUUCGGGAAACCGGAGCUAAUACCGGAUAACAUAUUGAACCGCAUGGUUCAAUAGUGAAAGGCGGCUUUGCUGUCACUUAUAGAUGGAUCCGCGCCGUAUUAGCUAGUUGGUAAGGUAACGGCUUACCAAGGCAACGAUACGUAGCCGACCUGAGAGGGUGAUCGGCCACACUGGAACUGAGACACGGUCCAGACUCCUACGGGAGGCAGCAGUAGGGAAUCUUCCGCAAUGGGCGAAAGCCUGACGGAGCAACGCCGCGUGAGUGAUGAAGGUCUUCGGAUCGUAAAACUCUGUUAUCAGGGAAGAACAAAUGUGUAAGUAACUGUGCACAUCUUGACGGUACCUGAUCAGAAAGCCACGGCUAACUACGUG